AGCGGAGAUAUAUGGAGCUUGCUUUAUAUAACUUAGCAGCGAACGGGUGAGUAACACGUAGAUAAUCUAUCCUAUACUGGGGGAUAGCCCGAUGAAAGUUGGAUUAAUACCGCAUAUAGCUAUAUAGUUGCAUGAUUAUGUAGUGAAAGAUUUAUUGGUAUGGGAGGAGUCUGCGGCACAUUAGCUAGUAGGUGAGGUAAAGGCUUACCUAGGCGACGAUGUGUAGCCGGUCUGAGAGGAUGAACGGCCGCAAUGGAACUGAGACACGGUCCAUACUCCUACGGGAGGCAGCAGUGGGGAAUAUUGCACAAUGGGGGAAACCCUGAUGCAGCAACGCCGCGUGAGUGAAGAAGGUUUUCGGAUUGUAAAGCUCUGUUAGCAGGGAAGAGGAAGGACGGUACCUGCAGAGGAAGCCACGGCUAACUACGUGCCAGCAGCCGCGGUAAUACGUAGGUGGCAAGCGUUGUUCGGAAUAACUGGGCGUAAAGGAUGCGUAGGCGGUUAAACAAGUUAUAUGUUAAAUAUAUAGGCUUAACCUGUAGAAAGCAUAUAAAACUGUUAAACUAGAGUGCAGGAGAGGUAAGUGGAAUUCCUAGUGUAGCGGUGAAAUGCGUAGAGAUUAGGAAGAACACCAGUGGCGAAGGCGACUUACUGGACUGUAACUGACGCUGAGGCAUGAGAGCAUGGGGAGCAA
RNAcentral lists this ribosomal RNA (694 nucleotides) under uncultured bacterium. RNAcentral describes it as "bacterial SSU rRNA". It matches the Rfam family "Bacterial small subunit ribosomal RNA", at positions 65 to 771 of the family's 1533-position model. The record is from RNAcentral.